UACGGAGGGUGCAAGCGUUAUCCGGAUUCACUGGGUUUAAAGGGAGCGUAGGCGGCGUGGUAAGUCAGAUGUGAAAUCCCGGGGCUCAACCCCGGAACUGCAUCCGAUACUGCCAUGCUAGAGGAUUGGAGAGGUAGCUGGAAUUCUUGGUGUAGCAGUGAAAUGCGUAGAGAUCAAGAGGAACACUCGUGGCGAAAGCGAGCUACUGGACAAUUCCUGACGCUGAGGCUCGAAGGCUAGGGUAGCGAAAGGG
This 253-nucleotide ribosomal RNA is filed under the name uncultured bacterium. RNAcentral's name for it is "partial 16S ribosomal RNA". It matches the Rfam family "Bacterial small subunit ribosomal RNA", at positions 524 to 776 of the family's 1533-position model. The record is from RNAcentral.